UCCGCCCUACGGGGGGCAGCAGUGAGGAAUAUUGGUCAAUGGGCGCGAGCCUGAACCAGCCAAGUCGCGUGAGGGAUGACGGUCCUAUGGAUUGUAAACCUCUUUUGUCAGGGAGCAAAGGGCGCCACGUGUGGCGUUUUGCGAGUACCUGAAGAAAAAGCAUCGGCUAACUCCGUGCCAGCAGCCGCGGUAAUACGGAGGAUGCGAGCGUUAUCCGGAUUUAUUGGGUUUAAAGGGUGCGCAGGCGG
Molecule: ribosomal RNA, 248 nt
Filed under: uncultured bacterium
Lineage: Bacteria
Description: partial 16S ribosomal RNA
Rfam family: Bacterial small subunit ribosomal RNA
Source: RNAcentral